UACAUGGGGUGCAAACGUUGCUCGGAAUUACUGGGCGUAAAGCGCACGUAGGCGGAUCUUUAAGUCAGGGGUGAAAUCCUGGAGCUCAACUCCAGAACUGCCUUUGAUACUGAGGACCUUGAGUUCGGGAGAGGUGAGUGGAACUGCGAGUGUAGAGGUGAAAUUCGUAGAUAUUCGCAAGAACACCAGUGGCGAAGGCGGCUCACUGGCCCGAUACUGACGCUGAGGUGCGAAAGCGUGGGGAGCAAACAGGG
RNAcentral lists this ribosomal RNA (254 nucleotides) under uncultured bacterium. RNAcentral's name for it is "partial 16S ribosomal RNA". It matches the Rfam family "Bacterial small subunit ribosomal RNA", at positions 524 to 777 of the family's 1533-position model. The record is from RNAcentral.